UGCAGUCGACGAAGGCUUCGGCCUUAGUGGCGCACGGGUGCGUAACGCGUGGGAAUCUGCCCUUAGGUUCGGAAUAACAGCUGGAAACGGCUGCUAAUACCGGAUGAUAUCGCGAGAUCAAAGAUUUAUCGCCUGAGGAUGAGCCCGCGUUGGAUUAGGUAGUUGGUGGGGUAAAGGCCUACCAAGCCGACGAUCCAUAGCUGGUCUGAGAGGAUGAUCAGCCACACUGGGACUGAGACACGGCCCAGACUCCUACGGGAGGCAGCAGUGGGGAAUAUUGGACAAUGGGCGAAAGCCUGAUCCAGCAAUGCCGCGUGAGUGAUGAAGGCCCUAGGGUUGUAAAGCUCUUUUACCCGGGAAGAUAAUGACUGUACCGGGAGAAUAAGCCCCGGCUAACUCCGUGCCAGCAGCCGCGGUAAUACGGAGGGGGCUAGCGUUGUUCGGAAUUACUGGGCGUAAAGCGCACGUAGGCGGCUUUGUAAGUCAGAGGUGAAAGCCUGGAGCUCAACUCCAGAACUGCCUUUGAGACUGCAUCGCUUGAAU
Molecule: ribosomal RNA, 543 nt
Filed under: Sphingomonadales bacterium PRMR084
Lineage: Bacteria; Pseudomonadati; Pseudomonadota; Alphaproteobacteria; Sphingomonadales
Description: bacterial SSU rRNA
Rfam family: Bacterial small subunit ribosomal RNA
Source: RNAcentral